GGAUGUGAGGGCGAUCUGGCUGCGACAUCUGUCACCCCAUUGAUCGCCAGGGUUGAUUCGGCUGAUCUGGCUGGCUAGGCGGGUGUCCCCUUCCUCCCUCACCACUCCAUGUGCGUCCCUCCCGAAGCUGCGCGCUCGGUCGAAGAGGACGACCUUCCCCGAUAGAGGAGGACCGUUCUUCGGUCAAGGGUAUAGGAGUAGCUGCGCUCCCCUGCUAGAACCUCCAAACAAGCUCUCAAGAAAGCAGGGGUAGCUAUACUUCUACCAGGCGAAAUAGACUUUAAGCCAAAAACU
This is an unclassified non-coding RNA of Ursus americanus (American black bear), 294 nucleotides long. Its record names the gene 7SK. It matches the Rfam family "7SK RNA". From Rfam's summary of the family: 7SK was discovered as an abundant small nuclear RNA in the mid-70s but a possible function has only recently been suggested. Two independent studies have found that 7SK RNA binds the CDK9/cyclin T complex (known as elongation factor P-TEFb). The record is from Ensembl. Lineage: Eukaryota; Metazoa; Chordata; Mammalia; Carnivora; Ursidae.